This 425-nucleotide long non-coding RNA is filed under the name Coturnix japonica (Japanese quail). RNAcentral describes it as "lncRNA (ENSCJPG00005011764.1)". Lineage: Eukaryota; Metazoa; Chordata; Aves; Galliformes; Phasianidae. The record is from RNAcentral.
GAAAUAGUCAUUCUUCCAAAUAAAUCUGAGGGAAUGCUUUUCUACCUGUUAGAACCUUGAUCUUGAAGUAUGCUGAGGUUUGCAUUUCAGUCUGAGUACUUUAAUUGUUUUGGCUCAGCACCAUGCUGAAUUGCAACCGUGGCCUUUAACUGCUAAGAGGAGAUCACUCUAGCAAACAGAACAACAUAUCCAUAGCAACAGCAUUAGUCCUGAGUUUUUAAAACACAAAAUGGUGUCUGGUUUAUUAGAACAUAUCAUCUUAAUUUUGUACAAUAGUGAGAGAAAAAAAGCAGGGAGAGGUGAACAAGGCCAAAAGAACGUAAACCAAAGAAGUAAACUCUGCAAAUCUUGAUGAAUACAACUCCACUGGUAAGUGACAAUAUAGGUGAAACAUUUCUCUUUUAAACUUUUUUUCCAUUAGUUUU